Molecule: long non-coding RNA, 728 nt
Filed under: Coffea arabica (coffee)
Lineage: Eukaryota; Viridiplantae; Streptophyta; Magnoliopsida; Gentianales; Rubiaceae
Description: long non-coding RNA (CARA_LNC002532)
Source: RNAcentral
GUAGGGAUGAGGGGAUGGAGAUGGUGGUGGUGGGGAGACGUAAUGAUAAGGUGGUGGUGGAGAUUUCUCCGGCGGUGGUGGGGAGAUGUACUGAUAAGGUGGUGGUGGGGAUUUCUCCGGAGGUGGUGGGGAGAUGUAGUGAUAAGGUGGUGGUGGGGAUUUUUCCGGUGGUGGUGGGGAGAUGUACUGAUAAGGUGGUGGUGGAGAUUUUUCCGGUGGUGGUGGGGAGAUGUACUGAUAAGGUGGUGGUGGAGAUUUUUCCGGUGGUGGUGGGGAGACGUAAUAAUACGGCUUUGGUGGAGGUUUCACCGGUGGUGGCGGUGACUUGUAUAGGUAAGUUGGUGGUGGAGGUGGUGGUGAUUUAUAGACAUAAGUUGGUGGUGGUGGGGAGACGUAAUAAUACGGCUUUGGUGGAGGUUUCACUGGUGGUGGCGGUGACUUGUAUAGGUAAGUUGGUGGUGGAGGUGGUGGUGAUUUAUAGACAUAAGUUGGUGGUGGUGGGGAGACGUAAUAAUACGGCUUUGGCGGAGGUUUCACCGGUGGUGGCGGUGACUUGUAUAGGUAAGUUGGUGGUGGAGGUGGUGGUGAUUUAUAGACAUAAGUUGGUGGUGGUGGGGAGACGUAAUAAUACGGCUUUGGUGGAGGUUUCACCGGUGGUGGCGGUGACUUGUAUAGGUAAGUUGGUGGUGGAGGUGGUGGUGAUUUAUAGACAUAAGUUGGUGGCGGAG